RNAcentral lists this transfer RNA (87 nucleotides) under Woeseiaceae bacterium. Its description in RNAcentral is "tRNA-Leu". It matches the Rfam family "tRNA". From Rfam's summary of the family: Transfer RNA (tRNA) molecules are approximately 80 nucleotides in length. Their secondary structure includes four short double-helical elements and three loops (D, anti-codon, and T loops). Lineage: Bacteria; Pseudomonadati; Pseudomonadota; Gammaproteobacteria; Woeseiales; Woeseiaceae. The record is from RNAcentral.
GCCGGGAUGGCGGAACUGGUAGACGCGCCGGACUCAAAAUCCGGUUUCUGUGAGGAAGUGGGGGUUCGAUUCCCCCUCCCGGCACCA